GAUGACAAGUACCAAUAAACAUUAUAGAAGACAAAUCAUUUUCAUACAAGAUUUUGCACCUUAGUUGAAUUUAUUUGAGUCAAUUAUAGAAAAAGCCCACUAUUAAUUUAGGGUUUGUAACUCUUUCGAAUCUUUUCUUAUAGAGUCGUUUCUCCUCCCUUUCUCUCUACCCUUUCACCUUCUCCAGCCAGAACAUCCUCUCCUCCCAUGGUUUCUCUGCAACCUAAAACUCUGUCGCUGCCAAUGGUAGUGUUGUUCACGUACAUGUGGUUUGGCAGCAUGAACAAAACAUAGACCCCAGAAAGCUUAAAGGGCCAGUUCUUUCUCUCUUCUUUUCUUUAACCUACCUAAAUACUUCCUUUUUCUUUUCCAUAUCGCAAAGAUGUUGUGUAGGUGAUUUCAAGUCGUUUGUCUGCUCAGAAAUUAAGAGUCAGGAAGCUUCAACAUCUUUGUGAUAUGGAAAAGAAGGUGGAGUCCUUAGAGUUGUUGUCCUCUCCUCUGCUGCAAAUCAAACAAAACAAUGGUGGAUGGUAAGACACUUCAACUCUUAUUUUCUCACUUUUAUUACUUAAACUAAAGAAAAUGGAACAACAUCAAUUGUUAAGGAAAGAAAAUGAAAAUAUAGUUAUGUGUAAGGUUUUUGCAUUGUUGGUCCUGUUUUUGAAAGGUGUGUUGUGAGAUAAUGUAAAUUUGAGUAGUUGUGCUUCCGUUUCAUGAUAUCAAUUUGUUUAAUUUAGAAAACUACAAAAACAGGUAUUGAUUUGGAACCCAUCGUGUUGAGUAUUUUCUGUUUAUUCAUUUAAAGCUGUUGUUGGUUGGAAAGCAUCUGAGAGGCGAUGUUUUACAUGCACGACCAGGUUGGUAAUGUUGAAAUUUUGAUUUGUUACAUUUUCCAAGCAUCCUUCACUCCAUCUUUAUUUAUGUCCUGAUAUGAGGAAACAACCAUUUCUGUUGCUACUUAAAAAAACGUAUUAAGAGAAACAAACUUACCAGUCCCUCAAAUAUGCUGCCUGCUUUACUCAAGUAGGUGGAAACAUUAAGAAAUGAUUUUGAGGCAGAGAAAUGGUGUCACACGUAGACAAGAAAACUUUGUUCAUAUUUGGGUUGACUCCACUCCAUUGCUUACUGAACCAUCAAUUGAAGGGAAUAACAAAACAAUGUCAGAUUGUCAAGUUUUAAUACAUGCAUUAACCAAAGCUUGGGAAGAAAAUGUUGUCCAAUAGCCAGCAAGGCCAAAAUGGAAGUUUUCCUGGGACUAGAAAAAAAGGGCUUUGGUUGUUCAUAUGGUACUACUAGUGUUAGUUUAAAUUUAUUUCUUUUUCAUUUUUAAAAUGAAGACAUGACAAAGAACAAGUGUAAGUUAUAUGAAUGCUUGUUAUGUAGGAAAUCAUAUGCCAUCAACUUGUUGAAAUCUAUAGUGUUGCUUCUUUGAAAAUUGGUAUGGAGAUCUAAAUUAAUCAAUAUUGGUAUGUCCACUUCUUCACCUACCGAGUUAGAAAUGGGUGUACUCCUACACAAGGAAAACCUUUGGCCAUCAACAGUUCAUAAGUAAAAUAAACGUUACACUCCCAGAAGCAUGGUUUUUAUAUUAAUGUUCUUAGAUCAAAUGCAAAAUGGUUAAUUUGAGUUGGACCCAUUACGAUGUUUACCACGACACAUUGGUUAAGGAAACCAAAUUAUAUCUCCCAUGUUUCAUAUGAACAAGCUUUUGCCUAGAAAGACCUCGACUCCACUGCCAUUGCUUGGCCACUUUGACAAAAAUUCCUUCUCUCUCCCAUUCGGUGAUUUUUUUUUCUUUUGUGAACAAAAAAAUUAUUUUCCCUGCUUCAGGGGCUGUGUUUAUUUUUGUCGUAUUGGAAGUAAAAUAUGACUAAGGCAGGGAAGAGCUGAAGACGAAAGAAGAAAUUAAAUAUGAAGACUCCAUAAUUUCUUCUCUCA
Gossypium raimondii (Peruvian cotton) is the source of this 1938-nucleotide long non-coding RNA. RefSeq lists it as uncharacterized. The transcript is spliced from 2 exons. The record is from RefSeq and is a predicted model, not a curated record. Lineage: Eukaryota; Viridiplantae; Streptophyta; Magnoliopsida; Malvales; Malvaceae.